UGGGGAAUCUUGGACAAUGGGGGCAACCCUGAUCCAGCCAUGCCGCGUGAGUGAUGAAGGCCUUAGGGUCGUAAAGCUCUUUCGCCUGUGAAGAUAAUGACGGUAGCAGGUAAAGAAACCCCGGCUAACUCCGUGCCAGCAGCCGCGGUAAUACGGAGGGGGUUAGCGUUGUUCGGAAUUACUGGGCGUAAAGCGCACGUAGGCGGACCAGAAAGUUGGGGGUGAAAUCCCGGGGGCUCAACCCCGGAACUGCCUCCAAAACUAUUGGUCUAGAGUUCGAGAGAGGUGAGUGGAAUUCCAAGUGUAGAGGUGAAAUUCGUAGAUAUUCGGAGGAACACCAGUGGCGAAGGCGGCUCGCUGGCCAAGAUACUGACGCUGAGGUGCGAAAGGCGUGGGGAGCAAACAGGAUUAGAUACCCUGGUAGUCCACGCCGUAAACGAUGAGUGCUAGUCGUCGGCAGGCAUGCCCUGUCGGUGACGCAGCUAACGCAUUAAGCACUCCGCCUGGGGAGUACGGCCGCAGGUUAAAAC
Molecule: ribosomal RNA, 530 nt
Filed under: uncultured bacterium
Lineage: Bacteria
Description: bacterial SSU rRNA
Rfam family: Bacterial small subunit ribosomal RNA
Source: RNAcentral